GAAUAGCUAGAUACACCUCCGAACAAAUAGCGAUGUAAUAUCCCGCUAUCGUAAGGUAAGUGAACUUGCAUUUCAAAAUGUUUUGGGGAAAUGCUUACGUGUUUUAAUGAAUCAUUUAAGAAUUUUAUUUGUUUUUGCUAAAAAAAAAUGCUUGGGAACAAGCCCUUGAUAAAACAUUUUAUGUUGUGAAAUGUACGAUAUGAUAAAUCCAUGUGCAUCUAUGUCAUGUUGAUGCAUAUAUAUGUCAUGACCCAAAUUUUGGGCCAUGACCGGUGCAUGAGCCCAAUGGAUGUAGUCCACUAAGCCCAAGCAAGCCUAUUAAUCUGACGCAUUCAUCAUUCCAUCAUAAACUGCUAAGUCACAUUUCAUACUUGAAUCAAAAUAAUAUUAAACAUUGCCAUCUCAUAUUGGCAUACCAAACAAGUGUAUAUACAUUGUCUACAACAUAUAUCUUAAUAAUUUACAUUAGGUUUAUCUAUACACAACAAAAGAGACUCGAUGUCCAGCAGAGAAACUCAACGAAUGUAUAGCUACUGAAUGUUGAGGCACCUACCAAAAGAUGGAUACAAGUCUACAAAGACACCUCGUCCUAGUUACCGGCUGCCUCGUGAUCUAAAAAUAUAAAGUUGAAAACGGUGAGUAUAAACCCAGUGAGUGAACAAGAAAGGAAACAAGCAUACCAUAAGGAAUGUUUAACGAAAUCAUGAUGCAUUCUUUUUCAAAACAAAGCAAUUUGUUUUUUAUUCUUAUUAAAAACCCCUCAUCAAGCCCUUAAAUGAUUAAUCAUUUGAAAAUCAUGAACCCAUACAUAACGAACCAUUUGAAGAAUGAAAGCUUCAAUGAUACGAAUGCAAGUCAAAUACGACAAUGAAUCUUCGCUGCAGCGAGAAUGAAUUUUCGCUGCAGCGACGUUGGGAUUAAGUUAUUAGCCAAACGAGGGUUUCUCAACUGGUCGAGGGUUUCUCACUAAACCUCCUCAUUUUAAACUUAACUCAUUUAGUCUUUAAUGUUGGAAGUCCAUGCUCCGAUAUGGUAGCAAAGAAGUGAAAAAUAAGGCAGCAAUUGGACAAGAUAGGAGACAAAAACAUAAAGUUUUUCGCUGCAGCGAGUUUUCGACCAGUCUACCCCUCCAAACUUGAGAGUUGCUCGCUGCAGCAAAAAUGAUUCUCGCUGCAGUGAGAAACAGGGCACCAAUGAAAAAUUUGCCCUUCUUCCCAAAGAAAACCACCCUGUUGAAAUGUCCAAACCAACAUGAAACGCAUAACAAUUUUCCACAGUUUAACAUGUCAAGUUUCACAUGCAUUACAACCAUAUACCAUUACUAAUUAAUUUCCUAUAACACACAUAUUUACAUAUGUAUAUAUGUAUACGUAUACGCAUCAUCAUCAUGCACACCAUCCCAUCAUCAUCAUCACCAACUCAUGCGCACUCCUUACUCGCACAUGGCUAGGUCAUCACCGGGUUAUGUGCACUCCCUACUUGCACAUAACCGGGUCAUCCUCUGCUUAUGCACACUCCCUACUCGCACAUAGCCGAGUCAAUGUCAUUACACAAUAAAAUAUUCAUAUAUAUAUAUAUAUCAACAUAAUGUGGUAGUGCAUGAAUCAAUAAUAGUCACAUGUCAUAACAUAAACCAUUUCUCAAGAGCUUGUUCCCAAGGCACUCAUUUUUAAGAAAAAUUGUAUAAAAUCAUUCAAACACUUUAUACAAAACAGUCACAUUCCCAAAAUAGUUUUGAUAGGCAGUCCACUCACCAGUAUAUUGUUGAGCCUUUAGUUGACUCUAAUUCCCCUAAUGAUCCAAUUGGGAUGAUAGGGCUUCGUUAGAACCUAGAAUCACAUUAGUAUCAGCAAUAGGUCAAUUCACAUACUAUAAACCCUAAAAGCUAUCUCUUAGCUAGCUUUCAAUUGCUACUUUAAAUGGCUAUCUAUGUUCACUAUCUAAAUCACUAUAAAAUGAAUGAACAUCCUCAACAAUAAAACAGCUCUUAAUCUAAAUUACUAGCCAUUAUUCACAACUAAAAAUCAAGCUUGGUUCAUUACUCACCCUAAUGUUCCUUUGUAGUUGAAUUCUCUUUCAAUAGCUUCCACACAAAUGGGGUAAUUCUCUCUUUCUCUCUCUAGAAUGCCCAACUAGUGAGAGAAAGUAUGGAAAUAAGAUUUUUCAAGGGUUUUAAGGAGAGAGAGUGGAAGAAUACAAGGGUUCUAGUCAUAAGGGCACAAAGGUAUGAAAACUAGAGCUAGAGAGAGAAAAUCAUCCAAGCAACAUAUCAAGCUUCCAUGGAGGUUGGAAGCAACGUGAAAGAGAAGAAGGAGGAAGAAGAAGAAGCUGCUGGAAGAAAGUAUUUAUAGCCAAUCUUAUCCAUUCCACUUAAAUUACCAAAAUGCCCAUCCACCAAUUAACUUACUCUCCUCCAACCCUUUAUGAAAUCUUUUUACUCCUUUGACAUCGGGACAAGGUCCAUAAUGGUCUAGACAUACUCGGGUUCAUGAAAACUUAAAAUUUUAACCCAAUGUGAAAAAUGACCAUUUUGCCCUUAUCGUGAAAAUUAUCAAAAUUUUUGUUUUCUUUUCAUUUUACCCCUAAUUUCAUCAUCCAUUUAUGCCUUAGGCCUUCUUAGGCCAUAACAUUGUUAAAAAUCUUACUUUUAUGGGCUUACUAAGGAAAUGACGAAAUUACCCCUGAUCAGGGAUAUCGCGUAUACUUCCCUUUACGAGUCUAUAAAGGUCAAGGUCUCACAAUAUAUAUAUGGAUAUAUGAUAUGUAUGGAUAAGUAAUAUUACGUGGUAAUCAUAACUGAGUAUGUGUGGUGGGGAAGGGCACAUACCAGUAAUGACGGUGAUUCCAGCUAUGUGCGGAUGUGGUGGUGGACAUGAGCUGAGGACCGGUGGGGGAUUCCAGCCAUGUGCGGAUGUGGGGGUGCACAUGAGCUGAUGACUGGCGAUGGUCUAUACCCAGCUACGUGCGGUGCGAAAAGGCACAUGAGCUGAGAACCGUUGGCGUAUACAUGUUUGUAUAUAUAUAUAUAUGCCAUAGAGAUGAUUAUAUAUGCUAUGAAAUUAUUUGCAUAUGUUAUGAAAGGGUUAUGAAAAUAAUACGUGAUUGCACUGAAUAUUGAGGAAACUUGAGUAUUGUCAAUGUGUUCAAUUUAAUGUGCCAUGUGGCAUGAGUGAAUUUUCCUUGUGGCAGUAAAAACCCCUUAGAUUUUAUCUGGCCAGAAUUUCGUUGCAGCGAGAAUGCCUUUUCGCUGCUGUGAGAGUUAAUCUAUUAUGCUUGACUUGCUUGAAUUCUACUAAAAUUUUCACUUUUCAACUUCUUUGUUUUUCAUGGGUCUUUCGUCAUUAAGUGACUAAACAACCAAGGGUUUGAAUGAGGGGUUUUUAAUAAGAAAUGAACUAAAUUGCAUUGUUUUUGAACUUAAGUGCAUCAUGAUUUCUAAACCUUCCUUAAAAUUGCUUGUUCCCUUCCUAUGUUUUAAGAGCUCAUGGCCCAAAAAUUAGGCUGUGACAAACAUGGUAUUAGAGCUCUAGGUUUAGUUGAAUCAUAGGGAUUCUUGUGUGGUCAGCAGAGUUGUUGGAGUCCAUGUAGAGUCUUGUCCUUGGAUUGUGGGUGCGUAACGCAAGUCAAGGACAGGAGGCUACAUGAGCCCUUACUUCAUUAGAAACCUACCUACUCUUAUGAGCUAUAAAUGGCUAAGUAAUUUAUACUUGGUUGCGUAUAGGUUUGGAGGUGCGUCUGUUGCACGCGCCACAUCUAGAAGAGACGGUAGUCCCGACACCCUUCAUAGUACUAGUGAGGGAUCGUUAGAUUCCACUACUCGGAGUCGAUAUGUGCCCGAGGGUGACAGCGUAACAAGUAACUCGACCAAAUUUUUGAGUGGAUCGAUUCCCCCGAGAGGUAAACCAUUAUUUAAGAGCUUGAGGUGUCUCGCAAGACUGGUGCGUAUUGAAAUCGAUCUGAGGAAAAAGAACAUGAACAAGAUGGAAAAAAAAGGACUAUCAGUAAUUAUCGCCUAGGAAGGUAUCUGUAUCCGUUGUCCGACAGUUCCCUCCUGAUUAUGGGAGAAGUGCUGCACCUGUUAGUAAGGAGGAAUUUGAGAGGCAACAGCAAGCUCGAAUUAAGGAUAAAAUGAAAAAAUCCCAGGAAAUAGAAGAGGACCCAGAAGAGAAUCCGUCGAUGUGCUCGGCUCAAGGCAACGAGGAUCCUAAAGACACGUAAUAUUUUCAUUGAAGUUCGUAUCACUUUAAGUCUAAGCAGAUGCAGUGUAAGGGAAAUAGUAGUAGUUAUCUAUACAUAGGAGUUAAGAGUUGGUUUUUAUUUUGUAUGACUCGAACGGAUUAUAAAGUAGCUGUUUAAAUGACUGGAUGUGUGUGGGAAUCUUUUGGUAUGACAAAGGUAGACUAACAAUAUAAUUAUUAAGGAAGGAUAUUCGCCUUAGUGGCCUGGUUGGUCGCCUUAAAUGAUUAUUAAGGAUGGACGUAGAAAGUCAUUAAUGGUACAAACAACUAUGAGGUCUAACAAAUGAUUACCAAUUAAUCGUAGAAAGGUGAAAUUUGAAAUCCCGAUUGCAGUUAUAAUUCGGAAGAAUAUGGGAGAAAUCAAUGAGGAUAUAGGUGACGCUUAGAAUGGAUGAUGUGAUUAAUUCAAGGAUUGUAAAAUUUAAGUUUGGAAGGAACUACAAAAUGAUGCCAUGAUAUUAUAAGAUGAUAAUUUGGUACAAAUAUAGACUAAAGGAGGCAAAUUAUGGAACUUGGGAAAAGGUGAAUCCUUGAUCUAAUAAAGAUUGAGAAUGUAGAGCGUGGAGAAAGAUGAACUAUUUUCAUGGCCAUUUGUACUAAAAGUCAACAAAACUAUUUGAGUUACAAGACAACAAAGACAAUUAAUUGUGAAUGUUAAGGAAUUGUGGAAUGUCAUAAUUGGUGAAUAAUUUUGUGUGUGGUAUUAUAUAUUGAGAAUUUGAUGCACAAUAUGGCAAGAUUGUCCUAAGGUGAGACUUAUUGGUUGAAGAUAAAUGUUAAAGGAUAAAAUGAGUUUGAAAAUAUUGACUCGGCUUAGAGCACAUGAUAAGCAAAAGAGAAGAUACGCAUGGUCAUGAAAAUUGUGGGAUAGGCUUGGAGGAAAGCCAAAUGGUUGAGCAUGAUCCCUGUAGUACCUUUAAAGGUGGAAGAACUUAUUUGUGGAAGAAAUUUCUAGCAGCCACAGCGCUAAAGCACUAACUCUUUAGCGCUGCAGCAUUGAAACUAUCCCAUGUAUUACAGUCGCGACGCUGCAGCAUUGACUGUCCAGCGCCUCAAUGCUACGAAUACCUCAUGUCUAUGAUGCAUGAGCAAGAUGGGAGUGGCACGAUAAUGAGCUUACAAGUUGAGUUAUGGUCAUUGGUCAUUGAGCUUUGUUAUUUAGGAGUUUUAAACGUUCUGGAGAAUGUUUACAUGAAUGAAUUGAAAAGUUUCUUUAUUGCCUUGUAUAUGAGCAUAUAAUUAAAAGAGAAGUUGAAAGAUUCUUGAGAUGGCUACAUUGAGAUAAGAACCGUGUGAAGUAUUAGGAUGAAUAAUAUGUUGACCAAAGCCAAAUCCUACGAAAUAAGGGAGACGAGAGAUUAAGCCUUGUUAAAGGCUAAGGAAAAAGGGAGUGAAGAGUUAGAUGAAUAUAUGAGAUAUUGAUAAGGGAUGUCAAUACCAAGUGAUGAAAGUGUGAAUGAAAGACUACAGGAGUGGUAUAGCAAAUGGGUUUAUCCAGCAUGUCGUUAUGAGAAUUUGCAAUUCUUGUCUUGACUUAGCUAAAUAAAAAAGGUUAAUAACAACACAAAGCCAAUUGUGUGGCACACUAGAAACCUAUGAAGAUAAAUUGGCGAUUGAAUGGACGAGUAUGUAUUUAUAUAUCUUUAAGAAUAAGUGCAUGUCUAUAGAAUGAUAUGCUCAGGAUGUUAACGAGCAAAUAAGAGACCAAGUGUUUCAGGAAUGCAGAAACAUCUUUGAGAAGGAAUUACCAAUCAUACACGGCAAGUAUAAAAUGUGAAAUUUUGAAAUUUGCUGAGGAGCCUAACGACUAAGUCACGGGUUAAGUGAUCACAUGUGGUGAAACAUAAGUUUAAGAUAAGUAUCCCUAAGGAAAUACUCAAGAGGAGUUCUGCUAUGGAUCUUGUGAAAGCAAGCAUUAAGUUAUGUGGUUAUAAAGAGGAAGUCGUAAGCUAGAAGUGAGAUUCGUAUUGACAUUGAAAAGUACUUAUGGAGGACCUUGUUUCAAGUCUUACAGCUUUAAGUACAAACUGCAGAUUGGUCCGGGGAGAAUGAUGUCACAUUAGUAUGGAAGAUUCAACAAAGGAUGAUUGAAGAUAAUCUGGAUAAUGAAGCCCCAUAAUGAAAACUUCCUUAUGUAGUAUGGAAAUUGGAAUUUGAAAAUACUUAAGGCAUGCAUGAUUCGAAUGAGUCUAAGUUUUAAGUGAUUCAAUAAAGUCAAAAUGCAACAAGGAUAUAAUAUAUAUAUAUAUAUAUAUAUAUAUGUUGGAGGUGUGAAGAAUAAUUGAGAAAUAAGGAUGACUUUUAGGGAUUGUGGUAUUGCAUAAGAUGCAAUAAUCCAAUAAAGAUAAACCUUUGAAAGAUCAACGAGAUUAUAAGGCAUACAUGAAUACCAUAUUGCAAUUUAAUGCAAAUGACAUUUAGCAAGUGAGAUGUGAUUAAUAACAUUGUGAUGCAAGGAUAUAUAGUACGAUGAAACUCAAGCAUAUAAUUGGAAAUGGUAUAAACGAUAUGAAGUUAGGUAUAGGCAUAACAAUACUGUUGACAUGCACUAUGAGGAUUAUUAUAUUGAAUCUUGGAUAGGGAUGGGGAUGAAUAAAGGGAAAUGUAGUCCAAGGCACGCGAACACAUGGAUCCCUAUGUGUAACGAGGGAUGUUGACAUUUGGAAAUGCAUGUACAUACGUAUAUGUGAAAUUGAUGACUUAACCAACUGAGGUGAAGAAUUGUUCUCAGUGAUUUGAGAUUUGAACUUUAUGUAUUUGAUGAGUUGUAUAGAUGGUACAACAGCAAGAAGUCCCAUUAGAAGUUGAACUAUGAUGAUAUAAGAAAUUUUGGGAAAAAUAGUUAGAGAAAUGAGAUUAAAGAAAUGUAAUUCAUAGCGUGGGAAUAAUUGAAUUAUGUGGUGUAAAUGCAAGAUAAACCUGAAGUAUGUGGGAAUACUUGAAGGCAUUAACCUUCCUCAACGUUGAGACUAUGUACAAAGAUGAAUAUGGCAUGUUUAUAAUGCUGUAGGCCACAUAAUAGUGUAUGGUGAUAAGAUGAAUGAAUGAAUGUCGAGAAGUUUGGCAAGAAGCGAAAUAAUAAGAUGGUGAUUAGGCAUACAUAAGUAAGCAUAAUAUGUGAUCAAAAUCAGCAUGAUUGAGAUGGAGUUAUGGUUCAAAUUUAAUGAUAGUGAUAGAAGCAUGCUUUGAGUCUUAAUAUAAGAGAUCAUGAUUAUGAAGUGUAUUGCUAAUUUGAUUCUAAAGGAUAAUAAUAGACAUAAGUGAAGUAUUCAAGUGAAUCGAAAGUGAACGAGGUGAAUAAAUCAAAUUCCCUAUAAAAGGGAUACACGGAAAAAGAUAAUAGAGCGAGAUUGAUAACUCGACACCGACGUGAAUUCGAGGACUAAUUCUAUUUAAGUGGGGGAGACUGUAAUACCCCGUACUUUGAUAUGGUGACUAAUAAAGCUUAUUGAAUGUCAAUUGAGGUUAAUUAUAAUGUUUAAAAGUGAUGAAAGAUGAAAGAAAUAGUUUGGGAUAAAAUAUUUCGCACGCGAAGAAAUAAUAAUAAAAUAAUAAUAUUUUUAUCAGGAAAGAAUUUGUGAGAUAAAAAGUGAUUCGAAAGUGAAUUGAGGCAUAAUAAGGUAUUUUGGGUACCAAGGAGACAAGAGGAGAUGAGGAAAUUUUUAGAAUAAAAUAUUAUUUUAUUAAUAAAAUAAUAUUAAAAUAUUAAUAUUUUAUUCAGUGUCGAAAUUUUCCAUGAAGAAGAAGUAUAUGGUCAAUCUAAAUGGGAGAGAAGAAGAAUGAGAAAAUUUCGGAGAAAAAUGACGUUAAUGGGGCCGCGUGUCUUUAUUAAGUAAAAUAGGAAGGGUAAAUAAAUAUUUUAAAUAUUUUAGGGACACCGCGUUGGAGUACAAACUUUAUACUUCAUUUGUACAUGUGUAGAAGAAGGUAAUAGAAGGAAAUUGGAGUUUAAGAAAUGUUGGAAGGAACCAAUUGUAAAAGAUGGAAGUUGGAUGAGUCACAUGGUAAAUAAGGAAAAGUUUAAGGACUCGUUUACAAUUUUGAUAUUUGAAGUUAAAAAAGGGAAUUUCCUAAUUAAGGAAGGCUAGGUUAUGAGUAAUAUGAGAUGUACAUAUAGGUUGAAUGGAUCAAGGAAUGAAUAAAUAAACCAUAAAGUAAAAAUAAUAUAAAGAAUAAAAAUGUGAGUGGUGGGUGGACGGUGAUAAAGCCUUUGUCAUGUGAUUUAACACAUAAAAUGGGUGGAGAAGAUAAGUCAAAAGUCAUGAAUUCAUGGACAAGCCGUCCAUGACAAAAAAAAAUGAGGAGAAAAGAAAAGAAAAAGAUGAAGGAAAAGUCAAAAGAAGAGAAAUUGCAUACAAAGGUUAAUAUUUUAUCUAAACCACCUAGGAACCAACGACAUUUUUUUCAUGAAAAAAGUUGCAUUUUUUUUCAUGCUUCUUGGGGAUUACCAGCAGCCCAUAUUGGCUGCCACUUGGCUCAUAGGGAUUUCCAGCAGCCCAUAUUGGCUGCCACUUGUCAUGCAAAAAGUCCAUGCUUAUCUUGACUUCAUUGGUAUUCACGGCAAGGAAGGGAAAUAUUUCUUUUGCAAGACUUUUUCUAAUUCUUUUUCCUUUCCAAGUGAAAAACCCAAGCUUCUCAAAAUCCUCCUCAAAGAACUCGAUUCAAAAAGGAAGGAAUGGACACAAGCAGCCGACCAACGUUGGGUAUUCCACCAUUUUUGAGGAAAAAUAGAUCUAUCAUCUUUUUCCUUAGAAACCCCAUAUAUUUAAAGCUUUCUCCCAAGAGAUUUGAGCUCCUUAGCAUUGAUAUUGGAAUUAGGGAAUUCAUGGUGAAGGUAAAAGCUUUAGUUUUAAGUUAUUAUAGUUAAGAAUAAACGAUUAAAUAUCGUUGUCUUGAUUGUGUAGCAAAUAGUAAACUCAAUUUGGAGAAGCUUGUUACGUGUUCGUUUCUUUUUCAACCCAAGCUUAUGGAAAGUGAUCUCUAGAGAGUUAAGGCUCCACAAUAGAGUUAAGGAGCUAGGAGUUUUAUUUGAGAGGUAAGAAAUUAUAAAUAUGGUCAUUUUAUUUGACUCGAUCGGUUGAACCUUUUAUUAAAUUAUUUAAGGCAACAAAGGUACCCUAAGAUUUGAAAGAAAUAGAUGCAUGCAUGUGGAUUGCAUGUUAAAUUAUUAUGAAAGACGAGGAUGAAAAAUGUGAAAUUAGAUUAAGGAUUAAUUGAUUGAAGUGUUGCCUGUACACGUAUGUAAUUAAAUAUAUUGAGUUUGUAUUGUUGCUAGGAAGUGCCAAAGUAAAGUUACAGUGCUGUGGUGGUGUGCCGGGGGAAAUAACGAGUGACUGGCAAGUAGGAAUAGCUAGAUACACCUCCGAACAAAUAGCGAUGUAAUAUCCCACUAUCGUAAGGUGAGUGAACUUGCAUUUCAAAAUGUUUUGGGGAAAUGCUUACGUGUUUUAAUGAAUCAUUUAAGAAUUUUAUUUGUUUUUGCUAAAAAAAAUGCCUGAGAACAAGCCCUUGAUAAAACAUUUUAUGUUGUGAAAUAUGCGAUAUGAUAAAUCCAUGUGCAUCUAUGUCAUGUUGAGGCAUAUAUAUAUGGAUAUAUAAUAUGUAUGGAUAAGUAAUAUUACGUGGUAAUUAUAACUGAGUAUGUGUGGUGGGGAAAGGCACAUACCGGUAAUGACGGUGAUUCCAGCUAUGUGCAGAUGUGGGGGUGCACAUGAGCUGAGGACCGGUGGAGGAUUCCAGCCAUGUGUGGAUGUGGGGGUUCACAUGAGCUGAUGACUGGCGGUGGUCUAUACCCAGCUAUGUGCGGUGGGGAAGGGCACAUGAGUUGAGGACCGUUGGCGUAUACAUGUUUGUAUAUAUAUAUAUAUAUGCCAUAGAGAUGAUUAUAUAUGCUAUGAAAUUAUUUGCAUAUGUUAUGAAAAGGUUAUGAAAAUAAUACGUGAUUGCACUGAAUAUUGAGGAAACUUGACUAUUGUUAAUGUGUUCAAUUUAAUGUGCCAUGUGGCACGAGUGAAUUUUCCUUGUGCUAGUGAAAACCCCUUAGAUUUUAUCUGGCCAGAAUUUUGUUCCAACAAGAAUGCGUUUUCGCUGCGGUGAGAGUCAAUCUAUUAUGCUUGACUUGCUUGAAUUCUACUAAAGUUUUCACUUUUCAACUUCUUUGUUGUUCAUGGGUCUUUCGUCAUCAAGUGACUAAACAACCAAGGGUUUGAAUGAGGGGUUUUUAAUAAGAAAUGAACUAAAUUGCAUUGUUUUUGAACUUAAGUGCAUCAUGAUUUCUAAACCUUCCUUAACGUUGCUUGUUCCCUUCCUAUGUUCACUCAUUGAGUUUAUACUCACAUUUUUAAUCUUCAUGUUUUAGGUUUUCUGAGUCAAAGGUGAUUGGAUCCUAGGACGAGGUGUUCCUCCCUAUCCAUUGCUCGGUAGGUUUAAUGUGACACUAAGUGUUAGCAACCAUGCCUAGAGUCACUCUGUUGACGAUCAAGGUCUAAUUACGUGUAUAUGAAUACUUGUUGUGAAAUGCUGAGAUUCAUUUGUC
This 10773-nucleotide long non-coding RNA is filed under the name Theobroma cacao (cacao). RNAcentral's name for it is "long non-coding RNA (TCAC_LNC005430)". The record is from RNAcentral. Lineage: Eukaryota; Viridiplantae; Streptophyta; Magnoliopsida; Malvales; Malvaceae.